Molecule: ribosomal RNA, 259 nt
Filed under: uncultured bacterium
Lineage: Bacteria
Description: partial 16S ribosomal RNA
Rfam family: Bacterial small subunit ribosomal RNA
Source: RNAcentral
CUUGCAAACUAAAGAUGGCGACCGGCGCACGGGUGAGUAACACGUAUCCAACCUGCCGAUAACUCGGGGAUAGCCUUUCGAAAGAAAGAUUAAUAUCCGAUAGUAUAUUAAAACCGCAUGGUUUUACUAUUAAAGAAUUUCGGUUAUCGAUGGGGAUGCGUUCCAUUAGUUUGUUGGCGGGGUAACGGCUCACCAAGACUACGAUGGAUAGGGGUUCUGAGAGGAAGGUCCCCCACAUUGGAACUGAGACACGGUCCAA